Long non-coding RNA from Melitaea cinxia (Glanville fritillary), 573 nucleotides. RefSeq lists it as uncharacterized. Lineage: Eukaryota; Metazoa; Arthropoda; Insecta; Lepidoptera; Nymphalidae. The transcript has 4 exons. The record is from RefSeq and is a predicted model, not a curated record.
UUUUCAGUAUUUGAUAGCCCAUUUAUCAAGGAAGGCUAGGGCUAUAGGCUAUAUAUUAUCUCGCAAAGACCAAUAAGAGUGGACCACCAAUGAAGAAUGUUUCAAAAUCGGAUUUUUUCCUUCUGAGACCUUCCCCAGCUAGCCCAAAGUAACUAUUCCACGUGGACAAAGUUGCGGGUAGAAGCUAGUAGAAAAUAAAAUUCAGAUAAUUUAAGAAUGCUGAAUACAGCUUUCUCCCUUUGCCCUCUACUUCGCAGCCACCACAAGGACUUACUUUUGAAAAAACACUAGUUUCCCAGAAUGAAUCAGUAGAAAAUGUUAAAGUUCCUGUUCGCAACUAUGAAAGAAUUGUGGGAAAACCUAAUAGAAAUAGAGAUUCUACAUUAACUGAACGUGAGAAGAUCCUGCUGAGUCAUUUGACUCAAACUAAAUUAAGCUUAAAGCGUUUGGCAGUCGAAAUGCGAACUGUGAGGAAGACACAAAUAAAUUAUUUGUAGCUUAUAACGAUAUUAGCAGGGUCCGCACUGACAUGCCUAAUAGAAAUAAUAAUGAUGACAUUCAAGUUGUUGAUGA